UGAGGAAAAACAGCAAGAGAAGAUAAGAUGUGAGGAGGGGAUGUUCUGAUCAGGAUUAUGGUGGAGCUUUACACUGAAAAUAUUUUGUGCUAGCACUUCAAUGAAAGUUUACAACAACAUGGAACUGAAUCCUACAUUGUCAACCGUAAAGGUAUAAGAGGGGAAGGGCAGACUACAGCUGCUGGAAAUAUUUCAGUCAUUAGGAGGAAAAGCAGAAACUGACACUAAUCUGGAGAAAAAGCAACCAAUGAUAUUCAGAUCAAUGAUGAAAAUAUUGAAUGGCAGCUGGCCUCCUUUGGAAAUCCUGGGAGCUGGAGGCCCUCCUCAUAACUACCGCUGUAGAAAUUGAAUGGGUGGCAAUAUCAGUAGCAUCAAGGGAGGCCUGGAAAGAUAUUCUGGUG
Mauremys mutica (yellowpond turtle) is the source of this 401-nucleotide long non-coding RNA. RefSeq lists it as uncharacterized. The record is from RefSeq and is a predicted model, not a curated record. NCBI's taxonomy places the organism in Eukaryota, Metazoa, Chordata, Testudines, Geoemydidae. The transcript has 4 exons.